This 549-nucleotide ribosomal RNA is filed under the name uncultured bacterium. RNAcentral describes it as "bacterial SSU rRNA". It matches the Rfam family "Bacterial small subunit ribosomal RNA", at positions 746 to 1296 of the family's 1533-position model. The record is from RNAcentral.
CUGAUGCACGAAAGCUAGGGGAGCAAACAGGAUUAGAUACCCUGGUAGUCCUAGCCCUAAACGAUGAUUGCUUGGUGUGUUGGGUACCCAAUCCCAACGUGCCGAAGCUAACGCGAUAAGCAAUCCGCCUGGGGAGUACGGUCGCAAGACUGAAACUCAAAGGAAUUGACGGGGGCCCGCACAAGCGGUGGAGCAUGUGGUUCAAUUCGACGCAACGCGAAGAACCUUACCUGGGCUCGAAAUGUAGUGGACCGGGGUAGAAAUAUCCCUUUUCGCAAGAACUGCUAUAUAGGUGCUGCAUGGCUGUCGUCAGCUCGUGUCGUGAGAUGUUGGGUUAAGUCCCGCAACGAGCGCAACCCUUAUUGCCAGUUGCCAUCAUUCAGUUGGGCACUCUGGCGAAACCGCCCCGGAUAACGGGGAGGAAGGUGGGGAUGACGUCAAGUCCUCAUGGCCUUUAUGUCCAGGGCUACACACGUGCUACAAUGGUCGGUACAAACCGUCGCAAACCUGUGAAGGGGAGCUAAUCGGAAAAAGCUGACCUCAGUUCGG